This 1525-nucleotide long non-coding RNA is filed under the name Ictidomys tridecemlineatus (thirteen-lined ground squirrel). Its description in RNAcentral is "lncRNA (ENSSTOG00000032995.1)". The record is from RNAcentral. Lineage: Eukaryota; Metazoa; Chordata; Mammalia; Rodentia; Sciuridae.
GGAUCUUGCUAAGUUGCUUGAGGGCCUCACUGUGUUGCUGAGGCUGGCUUUGAACUUGUGAUCCUCCUGCCUCAGCCUUCCGAGUCGCUGUGCUGGGAUUACAGGUAUGCACUACUGCACCCGGUACAUUGUUGAGUUUUAGCAUUUCCUUUUACUUUCUGAACUACAUCUUUUUUUUUUUCUCCAGGAUUUCUUGUUUGUUGCUUGUUCCUCUCAACCUCCUGCUUGUGGUCUCAUAUGUUAGAAAUGAAGCAACAAAAAUGACUGACAUUGGGAGCUUUGUACGCACAGGUGACUGUGGUUGUAGAGGAGUAGAGAAGAUGGUGUCAAUGAAACUCUGCUGAGCACCCGGCUUUGAGAAUGGCAUUGCUCUACUGAAUCACUGGCCUAGAAACCUGGCCAGAGGUAUUUAGGGAGAACACAGCCUAUCCAAGGACGAGACCCAGAGAACCUCUUGGAUAUGCCAGGUCCCCGCUUCAUUGCACCAUGACCCUCCCACUGCACAGCACCCCUUUGUGGUCCCACUACAGUUACUCCUAGGUACCAAGAGGCCUUCCUAUUUCCAGAGAUGAUGAGAAUAUCAGGGCUUAAUUAAGGAAGGUUCUUCUCUAUUCAGAGUUGUCCAUGGAACUGGACAGAAGAGGCCUCUGGAGGUAGUAAGGCAGUGAGGCUCUCAACACCAGAGGGUCAUCAGGAAGAUGCUGGCCCUUUCUGAAACAGUAAAGCAACCAAUCCAAAAACGGACAAAAGCUGGCCAUGGUGGCUUGUGACUUCAUGCUUUAUGAAAGGCCAUUCUUCUUCCUUAUAAAUCUCUUUUCCUAUUUAUGCCAGUGACUGCUGCAUACAUCUCCUGCACAGCCUUAAAGAAUCCCCCCAAGAUGAAAUCAUUCCCACCGUCAGAGUUUGCCAUUUCUCAAAUAUGAGAGGCAGAAUGAUGGUCCCCCAAAUGUCCUCUUCCUAAUCCUGGAAUUUUGUGGGUAUUACUUUAAAUGGCAAAUAAAUAAGCUUCUUACACAUGAUGAGGUGCAGAAACAGAGAUGGAAGAUUCUUCCCGGAGCCCAAGGCCAUCACUAGAAUCCUCCUCAAUGAUAGAAGGAGGCUGGGGCUGGAGUAGAGAAUUGAAGAUGUGACACUGCUGGCUUUGAAGGACAAAGAGGCCACCAAUCCAGGAACGCCGGCAGCCUCUAGAAGCUGGAAAGAGGAAGGAAAACAUUCUUCCCUAGGCCUCUGGCAGGAACGCAGGCCUGCUGACACGCCGAGUUUAGCCCCAUGAGGUCCAUUUGGGGUUUGUGAUAGUUCAUCGCAGAGGUGACCCACUUUUUCCAUUUUCUCAAGCAUGGCCACUGGCACAUCUUACUACAACUCUAUACAGACCCAUUUUCUUCCCUGGGAUCCUGGUGAUAAAAACAGCUAACUAAGGCUGGGGUUGUGGCUCAGUGGUAGAGCGCUCACCUAGCAUGUACAAGGCCCUGGGUUCGAUCCUCAGCACCACAUAAAAAUCAAUCAAUCAAUAAACAAAUAAGUG